Long non-coding RNA from Vitis vinifera (wine grape), 415 nucleotides. RefSeq lists it as uncharacterized. The record is from RefSeq and is a predicted model, not a curated record. NCBI's taxonomy places the organism in Eukaryota, Viridiplantae, Streptophyta, Magnoliopsida, Vitales, Vitaceae. The transcript is spliced from 2 exons.
UAAACUAUAUAAAUUUUCAUGGUUAGGAAACCUAAAUUAUGUUGUUUCAUUUCAGUUCCUCGUAAUAGGCAAAGAUCGCCUACUUAGAAGAAACACAAAAAGGAAGUCGGUGUAAGAUGCAGGUCAGAAGACCUAUGCAGGAAAGAAUGCUUGAGCAAUGCUUUACUGUGAUUGGAUGCUGUUUGCUCAUAUUGAAAAGUCUUUUGAGGCCAUGCCUUUUGUAUCAAGACUACACCUUUUGUUGGAAUGAUGCAAUGUAUAUAUUUGUUAGAUACACUUGUAGUAUGGGCUACCCAUAGUAAACAAUGGGGUUUGGUAUAUGUAAAUUAAUGUUGUACAAGUUUCUUUUGUGAAACAAAACAUAUUUUGUUAACUUAAUAGUCACAAUGUUUAAUACAGGAUGUACUCUUUAUAA